RNAcentral lists this ribosomal RNA (290 nucleotides) under uncultured Flavobacteriaceae bacterium. RNAcentral describes it as "partial 23S ribosomal RNA". It matches the Rfam family "Bacterial large subunit ribosomal RNA", at positions 1 to 305 of the family's 2925-position model. Lineage: Bacteria; Pseudomonadati; Bacteroidota; Flavobacteriia; Flavobacteriales; Flavobacteriaceae. The record is from RNAcentral.
AAUAAGCUAUAUAAGAGCGUACGGUGGAUGCCUAGGCUCUCAGAGGCGAUGAAGGACGUGAUAAGCUGCGAUAAGCUACGGGGAUUGGCACGCACAAUUUGAUCCGUAGAUUUCCGAAUGGGGAAACCCACUAUAUUGAAGAUAUAGUAUCCGUUAAGGAAGCAAACCCAGGGAACUGAAACAUCUAAGUACCUGGAGGAAUAGAAAACAAAGGUGAUUCCGCUAGUAGUGGCGAGCGAACGCGGAAUAGCCCAAACCAAAAUUGUUUCGGCAAUUUUGGGGUUGUAGGA